UUUACAUUAAACUUUUAUUGUCAUCUUUCUUGAAUCAAGAGCAGGAAAACGCAGUCCUGAGGGGAGUUUCAUUUGCAUAUUGCUCAACAGCUUGACGUCUUCAAUUGGAACACAGCAAAGUGUACAACAGGCCACCUGAUUUUUCAUAGCCGAGAACGAAAUGGGAAAUUGAAGAGAAAGAAGAAUUUCAUUCCACUCCACUUAUUUGGUUUAAAUUCACUUCAAAAAAAUAUGAAAUGUCUCAUUCAGUUUAAUUCAUGCAAAUGAAGCCUAUAGAGGAUGACAGAAAUCAUAUGGUAAAGACUUUCCCAAAUGCUCUGACUGAGAGUGAAGCAGUUUUACACCGUUUUUGAGGGGGAUACCAUAAAAUACUGUUGAAAUAGCUGGAGAUUGUAUUGAAAACCUUCGUAGAUUGGAGGAGAGUAAUAAUUUAGGAUUCAAAUUAAAAAGAAGAUUCCAAUAACCUGGGAAACAGUGUGCUGAAACUGGAUUUUUGCAGAAGAGACAAGAGGCUACCUAAUAAUGCUACUUCUGCAAAUGGGUGUCCAGAAUUGAAAGGUGUGACUGAAUCACUGACUUCUUAUCUGGCGAUUAGAUGUGAACUACCGUGGAUGUAAGAAUCACAGUAUCUCCUAAAAGAGAAAGAGUAGCAGGACUGCUUGUGAGAAAAGUGCUCCUCUUAAAGAUACAGUCUGACUCAAGAGGAGAUAUUGACUAUUGAUUGCUAUGGAAAAUAUUAAGAAGUGUUUUGGACUACUUCCAAUCAUCCAACUGAAGGAUCAUCCAACACAAAAGAUUAUCAAAGCUUUGUUAAACAUGUAAAGAAUUUUCCUCUUAAAAUAGGCAGUGAAAUUACUGGAUUGCUUGUUCCAGCAAUUCUCAAGGUUUGGAUCAGAGGAAUCUCUUGAAAAUUAUUGUGGACCCCAAAGAGAUUUGGCUAUCUAUUCCAGUCAUUGAUGGGGAGCUCCAUGAUCACUUUGGGUCAGAAAUCUCCCAUGAGGUUAAGGAUGGAACUGGUCAACUUGAAAACAAAUGGUCAAAGUCUCAGACCAGGAACACUUAAAGUUCCUGCUAACAACAACAAAAGACAAGCUUGCUAAACAG
Canis lupus familiaris (dog) is the source of this 1104-nucleotide long non-coding RNA. RefSeq lists it as uncharacterized. The record is from RefSeq and is a predicted model, not a curated record. Lineage: Eukaryota; Metazoa; Chordata; Mammalia; Carnivora; Canidae. The transcript has 6 exons.